GUUAUGUGGUUAUUGCUACUGGUGUUAAAGUGUCGGUGGGAGGUUCCUGGCUGGGCGUGUUUGCUGGAACCUCGGGUGUGGACCCCGUUUGGUCCUGGCAAGCUUAGGGGUGUUCAGUUGUAUUUGGUUUUGGGUCAUUGCCGUGUUAACACACCUUUUUUAUGUUCACAGGUUGCGUGCCAAUGACGUU
Long non-coding RNA from Spea bombifrons (plains spadefoot toad), 190 nucleotides. RefSeq lists it as uncharacterized. NCBI's taxonomy places the organism in Eukaryota, Metazoa, Chordata, Amphibia, Anura, Pelobatidae. The transcript is spliced from 2 exons. The record is from RefSeq and is a predicted model, not a curated record.